GGCCGGGAUAGCUCAGUUGGUAGAGCAG
This 28-nucleotide transfer RNA is filed under the name Lygodium microphyllum. RNAcentral describes it as "partial tRNA-Phe". The record is from RNAcentral. Lineage: Eukaryota; Viridiplantae; Streptophyta; Polypodiopsida; Schizaeales; Lygodiaceae.